RNAcentral lists this ribosomal RNA (467 nucleotides) under uncultured bacterium. Its description in RNAcentral is "bacterial SSU rRNA". It matches the Rfam family "Bacterial small subunit ribosomal RNA", at positions 28 to 514 of the family's 1533-position model. The record is from RNAcentral.
GACGAACGCUGGCGGCGUGCCUAACACAUGCAAGUCGAACGAGGUCCAUCCUUCGGGAGAAGACCUAGUGGCGAACGGGUGAGUAACACGUGAAGAACCUGCCCCGAAGACCGGGAUAACCCUCCGAAAGGAGAGCUAAUACCGGAUACCCCCACCGAACCGCAUGGUUUGGUGAGGAAAUGGAUUCCGCUUCGGGAGGGCUUCGCGGCCUAUCAGCUAGUUGGUGGGGUAACGCCCACAAGGCAUCGACGGGUAGCUGGUCUGAGAGGACGAUCAGCCACACUGGGACUGAGACACGGCCCAGACUCCUACGGGAGGCAGCAGUGGGGAAUCUUGCGCAAUGGGCGAAAGCCUGACGCAGCAACGCCGCGUGGGGGAUGAAGGCUCUCGGGUUGUAAACCCCUUUCAGCAGGGACGAAUCAAGACGGUACCUGCAGAAGAAGCCCCGGCUAACUACGUGCCAGCAG